Etheostoma cragini (Arkansas darter) is the source of this 94-nucleotide long non-coding RNA. RefSeq lists it as uncharacterized. The transcript has 3 exons. Lineage: Eukaryota; Metazoa; Chordata; Actinopteri; Perciformes; Percidae. The record is from RefSeq and is a predicted model, not a curated record.
UAAACAAUGCACCUGAUAUCAGCCGGUGUUCUGUCUCUAAUGGAGUGGUUUGGAAAUGUGUAAGUGGCCCCAAACUUUAGACCGGUAGUGUAUA